Molecule: unclassified non-coding RNA, 387 nt
Filed under: soil metagenome
Description: partial contains 5.8S ribosomal RNA, internal transcribed spacer 2, and large subunit ribosomal RNA
Rfam family: 5.8S ribosomal RNA (bases 1-120)
Source: RNAcentral
GAUGAAGAACGUAGCGAAAUGCGAUAAGUAAUGUGAAUUGCAGAAUUCAGUGAAUCAUCGAAUCUUUGAACGCACCUUGCGCUCCUUGGUAUUCCGAGGAGCAUGCCUGUUUGAGUGUCAUGAAAUUCUCAACCUUUUCAGCUUUCUUUGUUGAUCAGGCUUGGAUGUGGGAGUAUGCGGGCUUCUCAGAAGUCGGCUCUCCUGAAAUGCAUUAGCGGGACCUUUGUCGCCUGGCUUUGGUGUGAUAAUUAUCUACGCCAUUGUAGUCAAGCAGCUUAAAAUGAGGUUUCAGCUUCUAACCGUCUCCCCUGAGACAACUUUUUGACAAUUUGACCUCAAAUCAGGUAGGACUACCCGCUGAACUUAAGCAUAUCAAUAAGCGGAGGA